AACGCUGGCGGCGUGCUUAACACAUGCAAGUCGAACGGAAAGGCCCUGCUUUUGUGGGGUGCUCGAGUGGCGAACGGGUGAGUAACACGUGAGUAACCUGCCCUUGACUUUGGGAUAACUUCAGGAAACUGGGGCUAAUACCGGAUAGGAGCUCCUGCUGCAUGGUGGGGGUUGGAAAGUUUCGGCGGUUGGGGAUGGACUCGCGGCUUAUCAGCUUGUUGGUGGGGUAGUGGCUUACCAAGGCUUUGACGGGUAGCCGGCCUGAGAGGGUGACCGGCCACAUUGGGACUGAGAUACGGCCCAGACUCCUACGGGAGGCAGCAGUGGGGAAUAUUGCACAAUGGGCGGAAGCCUGAUGCAGCAACGCCGCGUGCGGGAUGACGGCCUUCGGGUUGUAAACCGCUUUCGCCUGUGACGAAGCGUGAGUGACGGUAAUGGGUAAAGAAGCACCGGCUAACUACGUGCCAGCAGCCGCGGUGAUACGUAGGGUGCGAGCGUUGUCCGGAUUUAUUGGGCGUAAAGGGCUCGUAGGUGGUUGAUCGCGUCGGAAGUGUAAUCUUGGGGCUUAACCCUGAGCGUGCUUUCGAUACGGGUUGACUUGAGGAAGGUAGGGGAGAAUGGAAUUCCUGGUGGAGCGGUGGAAUGCGCAGAUAUCAGGAGGAACACCAGUGGCGAAGGCGGUUCUCUGGGCCUUUCCUGACGCUGAGGAGCGAAAGCGUGGGGAGCGAACAGGCUUAGAUACCCUGGUAGUCCACGCUGUAAACGGUGGGUACUAGGUGUAGGGUCCAUUCCACGGGUUCCGUGCCGUAGCUAACGCUUUAAGUACCCCGCCUGGGGAGUACGGCCGCAAGGCUAAAACUCAAAGGAAUUGACGGGGCCCCGCACAAGCGGCGGAGCAUGCGGAUUAAUUCGAUGCAACGCGUAGAACCUUACCUGGGUUUGACAUGGAUCGGGAGCGCUCAGAGAUGGGUGUGCCUCUUUUGGGGUCGGUUCACAGGUGGUGCAUGGCUGUCGUCAGCUCGUGCCGUGAGAUGUUGGGUUAAGUCCCGCAACGAGCGCAACCCUUGUUCACUGUUGCCAGCACGUUAUGGUGGGGACUCAGUGGAGACCGCCGGGGUCAACUCGGAGGAAGGUGGGGAUGACGUCAAGUCAUCAUGCCCCUUAUGUCCAGGGCUUCACGCAUGCUACAAUGGCUGGUACAGAGAGUGGCGAGCCUGUGAGGGUGAGCGAAUCUCGGAAAGCCGGUCUCAGUUCGGAUUGGGGUCUGCAACUCGACCUCAUGAAGUCGGAGUCGCUAGUAAUCGCAGAUCAGCAACGCUGCGGUGAAUACGUUCCCGGG
RNAcentral lists this ribosomal RNA (1339 nucleotides) under uncultured bacterium. RNAcentral's name for it is "16S ribosomal RNA". It matches the Rfam family "Bacterial small subunit ribosomal RNA", at positions 32 to 1378 of the family's 1533-position model. The record is from RNAcentral.